GGGGUCGCGCCCCCCAAGCCCCGCGUUCCGGAGUGGCUUGAGUUGAGAUACCAUGUCAGGGACAUGAUGCUGUUGUGAGAUUGGUACUAUGGACUACGGCUUGCAUGCCAUUGUGCGCGUUCGCACACGCUUGCGGGGUCGCUCCCCCCCAAGCCAGCACUCCCGAACAGCUUAGCGACAGAUGCUCGCAAAUGUACGAAGUGAGCGCCGAAAUGGAAUGCCGUGGGGGAGGCUCAUUCCUCGAGUGGGGAUGUUGACUACCACGGGGCCAUUAGGCACGGCGCGGCUUGAACUUAC
This 297-nucleotide long non-coding RNA is filed under the name Ananas comosus (pineapple). RNAcentral's name for it is "long non-coding RNA (ACOM_LNC003614)". The record is from RNAcentral. Lineage: Eukaryota; Viridiplantae; Streptophyta; Magnoliopsida; Poales; Bromeliaceae.